UACGGGGGGAGCAAGCGUUGUUCGGAUUUACUGGGCGUAAAGGGCGCGUAGGCGGUCGUGACAAGUCACUUGUGAAAUCUCCGGGCUUAACUCGGAACGGUCAAGUGAUACUGUCGGACUAGAGUACAGAAGGGGCAACUGGAAUUCUCGGUGUAGCGGUGAAAUGCGUAGAUAUCGAGAGGAACACCUGCGGCGAAGGCGGGUUGCUGGGCUGACACUGACGCUGAGGAGCGAAAGCCAGGGGAGCAAACGGG
This 254-nucleotide ribosomal RNA is filed under the name uncultured bacterium. RNAcentral describes it as "partial 16S ribosomal RNA". It matches the Rfam family "Bacterial small subunit ribosomal RNA", at positions 524 to 776 of the family's 1533-position model. The record is from RNAcentral.